Molecule: long non-coding RNA, 3844 nt
Organism: Oncorhynchus mykiss (rainbow trout)
Lineage: Eukaryota; Metazoa; Chordata; Actinopteri; Salmoniformes; Salmonidae
Source: RefSeq, a predicted model, not a curated record
CCACUUUGACCGUGUUGCGUUGCUGAUUGGGCUGUAUGAAAAGUCACUAAACCGACGACCAGCGAUCCUUCCACAUGUGUUCAGAUUUUUUUGUGCCUCCCCCCCGUCAAAGUUGCCCAUCUCCGCUCUAACCUAACCUACUGCUGAGCUUUCAACUGGAAUAUCUGUUGGCUUUGUUUUCUGUUUUUGAACAACUAAUUGAUGGAUAUCGGUUCAAUUCCUUGAAUUCCAUUUUCUUUCUCUUUUUCCUUCUUCUGUGAACUCACUGGGCACGUCAGACUGUUUCUGUGUGAUGUAGUAGGAACUUGUAGUUUCCUACAGGCCAAUAAUCAACAUAGUUAAUUAUCACGUUUUAUUCACUAAACUACAUGACCAUAAUCCAUUGCGUAUCUACUUUGUCCAGUCUACAUUUCUUUUUCGGCCUGCUACUGAAGAGACAAGAAUGCGCGUGAGUGGAUAUAGAGAGCAGCUGUUGCUUCGUGAUUAAUCUCUACCUGGGAAAUACGUGAUCAAAGUGAUUGAUAGUUGGCAUUCAGCAGUCAUUAAAAGUAUGCCUUAUUUACUUAGAAGAACUACAACAGAGUUUUUGUCAGACAGCAUAACCAGCAGCUCUAUAGAGAUAAUAAUAAUAAAAAUAAUAAAGUCAUCAAAUAAAACAAAUUAUAUACGCAACUGAAAUAUGAUGAAGUAAAAUAAUGUAAAUAAUUGUUGGUUAAUCAGCAGUCAUCGGCAGUCACUAUGGGCAGUUAUGGGACUUUUACUGAUUUUUUUUUAUUCUGUGUUGUUACAAUAUUCAACUCAAAUAAUCAAAACCGAAAACCGAGAUAAAUAAUUAACCCCAAACCCGACUCAAAGCACUCAUUGCUCAGCACUACCUAUAGCAGAGCGCUUUCCCACACCCAGUUCAUUACCACAUGGGCCAUUCUAUCCAAAAUGAUUGGGAUGGUCCUACCCCAUUGAAUUUUACAUUUAAAAUGGUUAGGGUUAGGUAAGGGUUAAGGUUAGGGUAGGGAGGUGCCAAGGAUCCCGGACAGCACUGACUCUAUCCACACGCUCAUUGCUGUUACAGAAUUCAACCCAAAUAAUCAAAGCCUGAAUCGAAAACAAUGGUUUUUGUGUUUAUUAUAAUGAACCGAAACCCAACCCUGUCCACACGCCCAGUACUUAACUUUUCAACACACCCUCUUGACCAUAGUCCGGUCUCGGUAUCGAGCUGCAGCUCCCUACUUCUCAAUGCGAACGUGAGUAGAUUACCUUGAAAACAACGGUCGGACAUCUAGGAAGCAGUCUCCAGUUUGUAUUAUACCUCGGUGGUGUACACGGAACAAAUAUCGACCAGAUCUUGUCCGGACGACAACAACAACAACGUGUUAAAGGUGUAACCAAGGCUUUCAGAGAACACAGAGAAACAUGGCUACAGUCUUCAUCUGUUCCGUCUGUACCGAAGUCUUCGUUGGACAUAUAUCGCUGAGCUGCCAGCACACCUUCUGUAGACGUUGCCUCCAGAAGAGUAUGGACUUCGGUUGCGUUAUCUGUCCGGUGUGCGGGGAUCCAAUCACGUCGGAGAACAUCAGAGUCAACAGAAUACUAAGGGACAUGGCAGAUGAAGUGAGACAGAGAAGAGUUGAUCUCAGAGUGUUGAAGAGGAAUGAGGACAUUGAUGUGAAUAACUGGGAAACCGACGAGAAGAAGAAGAAGAAGAAGGAGAAUGUGAAAACAUCAAAGUCCUUGGUGAAGGAAGGCCUGGCUGCCAGAAAGACAGAGAGGAAGUUAAAGUCGUCUCUGACCACUGGUCCCUGGGAGGGUAUACUUUUUGGCAUUAUGGCCUUUUAUUGCUUUAUUUCUGUGCUUACUUAUGUUGUCCUUCCUUGUGUGGAAUAUGUGUCUGUAACAACGUCAGGAAAUGCAGCCAAGGUGUUCGGAUCCCCUUUGGUGUUCAUGUCUAUGUUUGUGGUCUUCGGUGUUGUUGCUCAUUUGGUGGAUUUUGUGUUGAAAAAGAUUAUAUAAAACAGAUUUUAAGUCAGUAAUAACUGAUUGAUUGGUUUUAUGCGGUGUUGGAGAGUCAUUGGAUGUAGCGAACUUCCUUUCCCAGCAGUUUGGUGAUAGUUGAACAACUUUUUUGAAAUGAAUUAUCUUAUUGAGUUGACUUACAUCUGCAGGUUUAUGCCCAGUUUAUUGAUGCUAUGAUAAGUGCAGUAGAUUUUUGUUGUAAAAUGAAUGUUGUGAAGUAUGCUUUAAACUGCGAACUGAUUAUAUGGAAGAAAAGGAGUGUAUUUUGUUGUAAAACUUUUUCCUGUAAAUUUACCAACAUUAUACUGUAAUUUUGCUUUACAGCAGAGAUGCUGUAAUAUAUUUUACAGUUCCUCUUUUCCAUACUAUAAAACACAUUACAGAAUACAGCAUCCCUGCUUUAAAUUUACAGCUGUAAGGUUUUUACAGUAGUAGUAGUAUUCAAUGUCGGGAUUCGUGUCUCCACAACUGCAGUGGGGUUGCCAACAAUAUUAUUUGAAAUGUUUUAUAUUAUUAUUUAGUGUUAUUAUUUUUUUAUUUAAACAAUAUAGAAACAUUUUUGAGAAAAAUGGGUUCCCUGCUGAAAAAGUUUAAAUACCACUGUUUUACAGUAAGGAAAAUACUACUGUAAAAUAUAUUACAGCAUACCAGCUGUAAAGCAAAAUUACAGUAUUUAAGCUGGCUACUCUGGUGCCAUUACAAUGCUGAAUAUUUACAGUGAAAUUCUACCUGAAAUCUAAAUACAAAGAAAUAUAUACAUAUGUACAUAAAAUACAUGUAUUCAAAUAGCUGACAACAUUAACUACAAAUGAACAACAUAAUUGACAAUAGAAGUAACAACAGUUAUCAAAUAUGUAACCAACGUAAGCAUCAUUACAACACUAAUUAAAAAUUAUAUUGUGUGGCUGUGUGUGGGUGGGGUGGGGGGGUUGAGAUCAAAUUGGGAUUGGGUACAAUCCUAGAUCUAUGAUCAGGGGCAACUCUAUUUAGGGUAAGGGGGUUCAGAGGCGGUGAAACGGGACAGUUUGGUCAGGAGAGCAUCCAGGACAGAGAGAAGUCAGCAUCAUGUGUUCCUCAUGGGGCUCCGUAAACAAACCUCCUCGCGUUCUGAUUGGUCAGCUCUUCUCAACCCUAGGACAAGCAUAGAAAGAGAAAGACUAGAAUGAGCACCAUGGCUGUUACUCUGUGGGUAAAUAGAGAGACAGACAGCACCGGGGGCUGUUACUCUGUGGGUAAAUAGAGAGACAGACAGCACCGGGGGCUGUUACUCUGUGGGUAAAUAGAGAGACAGACAGCACCAGGGGCUGUUACUCUGUGGGUAAAUAGAGAGACAGACAGCACCGGGGGCUGUUACUCUGUGGGUAAAUAGAGAGACAGACAGCACCGUGGGCUGUUACUCUGUGGGUAAAUAGAGAGACAGACAGCACCAGGGGCUGUUACUCUCUGGGUAAAUAGAGAGACAGCAACAGGGGCUGUUACUCUGUGGGUAAAUAGACAGAGGACAAGGGACAUAUCAAGCUGGUGUUGUGUCUACGUACUUAACUACAAAUCUACAGUAGGCAUAAGCUAUUACUGUAAAGAAAUGAUACAGAAUGACGUGAGGAUUUCCUCCAGGAGGCUUCCAAUUACAGUAAAUAACAGUAUUUUUCAGCAUUUUACCCAUAAUGCAGUGCAAUCUAUAACAUUAUUGCUCUAAGACACAUGUAUGGUAUUUUACUGUGCCUUCUACAGUGUUUUAAUGUUGACAUGACAGUCUUACACUACAUAGCUUUUCUCCAUUUGAGAAGACACUAACCUAUUUGUAUUGAAAUGUAAUAAAAAUAUAAUUCUGUUA